CAGAAUAAGCACCGGCUAACUCCGUGCCAGCAGCCGCGGUAAUACGUAGGGUGCAAGCGUUAAUCGGAAUUACUGGGCGUAAAGCGNGCGCAGGCGGUUNGUUAAGUCAGAUGUGAAAUCCCCGGGCUCAACCUGGGAACUGCAUUUGAAACUGNCNGGCUAGAGUNUGGUAGAGGGGGGUGGAAUUCCNNGUGUAGCNGUGAAAUGCGUAGAUAUNGGGAGGAACACCGAUGGCGAAGGCAGCCCCCUGGNNCNAUACUGACGCUCAGGCGCGAAAGCGUGGGGAGCAAA
RNAcentral lists this ribosomal RNA (291 nucleotides) under beta proteobacterium SCGC AAA278-L03. Its description in RNAcentral is "partial 16S small subunit ribosomal RNA". It matches the Rfam family "Bacterial small subunit ribosomal RNA", at positions 482 to 772 of the family's 1533-position model. Lineage: Bacteria; Pseudomonadati; Pseudomonadota; Betaproteobacteria. The record is from RNAcentral.